This 253-nucleotide ribosomal RNA is filed under the name uncultured bacterium. Its description in RNAcentral is "partial 16S ribosomal RNA". It matches the Rfam family "Bacterial small subunit ribosomal RNA", at positions 524 to 776 of the family's 1533-position model. The record is from RNAcentral.
UACGGAGGAUCCAAGCGUUAUCCGGAUUUAUUGGGUUUAAAGGGUGCGUAGGCGGUCAGUUAAGUUAGAGGUGAAAUUCCGGUGCUCAACACCGGCACUGCCUCUGAUACUGGCAGACUAGAGAAUAGUUGCUGUGGGCGGAAUGUAUGGUGUAGCGGUGAAAUGCUUAGAGAUCAUACAGAACACCGAUUGCGAAGGCAGCUCACAAAGCUAUAUCUGACGCUGAGGCACGAAAGCGUGGGGAGCAAACAGG